CAGCAGUUCAUGUGGGGGGCCCUAGUGAAGACCUGUCUUGUUUCAAACUUGCCCAAUGAAGUAACUUGCCUGAUUACAAAGUGAAUAAAUUCAUACUUCGAGAUGUCACAUGUGUUGAAACAAGCAUGAACUUAUUCACAUUUGUAAUCAUUAACCCUAACGGUUGGACAUGUUUUUACCCUCUCCGGUGGAUUAUGGAAUCCGGCUCAAACAGAUUUCUCAACAACUGGAUCUGAUACAUAAGUACUCAGAGGACUACCAAGAACUUUCUCUAAUUCACCACUCACGUCCCAACGUGAAAAGCUAAAAUUUUACCUGUGAAUUCCCGUGAAGACAAGAGGGAACUAGGAAGAGGUAGUUCUCCACGGGAAGACCAAAGUAUUCUUUCCUGAAGAAAGAGGUAAACAUCCUGGGCCUUGCUUGUCGUUCCCUCGGGGUCAAACUCAGUGAACCUAGCAGUCUUCUGGGCUGAAGCGCUAAUGGCAGAAGGCCUGGAGAAAGGGG
This 504-nucleotide long non-coding RNA is filed under the name Equus caballus (horse). RNAcentral's name for it is "lncRNA (ENSECAG00000057743.1)". Lineage: Eukaryota; Metazoa; Chordata; Mammalia; Perissodactyla; Equidae. The record is from RNAcentral.